CCUACGGGAGGCAGCAGCAAGGAAUUUUCCGCAAUGGGCGAAAGCCUGACGGAGCAACGCCGCGUGUGGGAUGACGCUUUUCGGAGUGUAAACCACUUUUCUUGGGGACGCGGUACCCGAGGAAUAAGGACCGGCUAACUACGUGCCAGCAGCCGCGGUAAUACGUAGGGUCCGAGCGUUGUCCGGAGUUACUGGGCGUAAAGCGCGCGCAGGCGGCCCCGCAAGCAUGGCGUGAAAGCCCCCGGCUUAACCGGGGAGAGUCGUCGUGGACUGCGGGGCUUGAGGGCGGUAGGGGUUGGUGGAAUUCCCGGUGUAGUGGUGAAAUGCGUAGAGAUCGGGAGGAACACCCGUGGCGAAGGCGGCCAACUGGGCCGACCUGACGCUGAGGCGCGAAGGCGGGGGAGCGAACGGGAUUAAUACCCUUGUAGUC
Molecule: ribosomal RNA, 430 nt
Filed under: uncultured bacterium
Lineage: Bacteria
Description: partial 16S ribosomal RNA
Rfam family: Bacterial small subunit ribosomal RNA
Source: RNAcentral